AGCAUUAUACGGCGAAACUGCGAAUGGCUCAUUAUAUAAGUUAUCGUUUAUUUGAUAGCACAUUACUACUUGGAUAACCGUGGUAAUUCUAGAGCUAAUACAUGCUAAAAAUCCCGACUUCGGAAGGGAUGUAUUUAUUAGAUUAAAAGCCAAUGCCCUCUGGGCUCUCUGGUGAAUCAUGAUAACUGCUCGAAUCGCAGGGCCUCGUGCCGGCGAUGGUUCAUUCAAAUUUCUUCCCUAUCAACUUUCGAUGUUUGGGUAUUGGCCAAACAUGGUUACAACGGGUAACGGAGGGUUAGGGCUCGACCCCGGAGAAGGAGCCUGAGAAACGGCUACUACAUCCAAGGAAGGCAGCAGGCGCGCAAAUUACCCAAUCCCGACACGGGGAGGUAGUGACAAUAAAUACUGAUACAGGGCUCUUUCGGGUCUUGUAAUUGGAAUGAGUACAAUUUAAAUCCCUUAACGAGGAACAAUUGGAGGGCAAGUCUGGUGCCAGCAGCCGCGGUAAUUCCAGCUCCAAUAGCGUAUAUUAAAGUUGUUGUGGUUAAAAAGCUCGUAGUUGACCCUUGGGCCUGGCUGGCCGGUCCGCCUCACCGCGUGUACUGGUCCGGCCGGGCCUUUCCCUCUGUGGAACCCCAUGCCCUUCACUGGGCGUGGCGGGGAAACAGGACUUUUACUUUGAAAAAAUUAGAGUGCUCCAGGCAGGCCUAUGCUCGAAUACAUUAGCAUGGAAUAAUAGAAUAGGACGUGCGGUUCUAUUUUGUUGGUUUCUAGGACCGCCGUAAUGAUUAAUAGGGACAGUCGGGGGCAUCAGUAUUCAAUUGUCAGAGGUGAAAUUCUUGGAUCUAUUGAAGACUAACUACUGCGAAAGCAUUUGCCAAGGAUGUUUUCAUUAAUCAAGAACGAAAGUUAGGGGAUCGAAGACGAUCAGAUACCGUCGUAGUCCUGACCGUAAACUAUGCCGACUAGGGAUCGGACGAUGUUAUUUUUUGACUCGUUCGGCACCUUACGAGAAAUCAAAGUGCUUGG
RNAcentral lists this ribosomal RNA (1029 nucleotides) under Pleurocordyceps parvicapitata. RNAcentral's name for it is "SSU rRNA". It matches the Rfam family "Eukaryotic small subunit ribosomal RNA", at positions 68 to 1110 of the family's 1831-position model. The record is from RNAcentral. Lineage: Eukaryota; Fungi; Ascomycota; Sordariomycetes; Hypocreales; Polycephalomycetaceae.